Molecule: long non-coding RNA, 1431 nt
Organism: Herpailurus yagouaroundi (jaguarundi)
Lineage: Eukaryota; Metazoa; Chordata; Mammalia; Carnivora; Felidae
Exons: 5
Source: RefSeq, a predicted model, not a curated record
UGCUGUCUCCAGGCUUCAGAGGUCGCCAGAAUUAAAGUACUGAAAUUAAUUUGGAAAGUGAAAAGCAUCAGCCUCCCCUAAUCUCGCCCCAUUUAGCCAGUCUGGGCUGUGCCGGUAGGAGGAGGGAGGAGGACCUGGAUAGAAAAAAGAAAAAAAACAUUGCAAUGCUAACACCUCGCCACCUGCUACCGGAGGAAGAGCUGGAGUCCUUAAGCAUGGCGGGGAAGCCCAAGCUUCACUACUUCAAUGGCCGAGGCAGAAUGAAGUCCAUCCGGUGGCUCUUGGCUGCAGCAGGGGUAGAGUUUGAAGAAGAACUUUUUGAAACACGUGAAGAAUUUGAGAAAUUAAUCCAAGGAUUGACAUGUAUGUAGAGGCCUUGAAGGAUCUGAGUGACAUGAUUAUGUUUUUUCCACUCUCUCUGCCUGGAGAGAAGGCGAUGAAUCUUGAAUACAUCCUUGAAAGAGCCACUACAAGAUUCUUCCCUGUCUAUGAGAAGGCACUAAGAGACCACGGGCAAGAUUUUCUUGUGGGCAACCAGCUGAGCUGGGCUGAUAUACAGCUCCUUGAAGUCAUCUUAAUGGCUGAAGAGUGCAAACCCAGUGUCCUCACAGGAUUCCCUCUGCUACAGGCAAUGCUCUCCAAAUAACUCCCAAGAACUGCAGGAAGAAUGAAUUUUUAUCAUUUGCUUAUUCUUUCAUUCAGUCAUUCUCAUUCUUAUUCUCAUUCUUAUUAGCAUUUAAGAACCUACUAACUUCUUUGUGCCAAGCUACAAAGAUACCCUCAAAGAACACAUCUAGUGGGUGAGACAAGCACAUAGACAGAUAACCUCAAUAUAAGGUAGUAAAUUUAAAAACAAAGUAAGAUACAGGAAAGUAGAGGAAGGUCAUGUGGGCCAGCAUGGGGAUCUGGGGCAGACUUCUGGCAGGACUCAAGUCUCAAAGGUUUUGCCUAGAAUGUAGCAGAACCUCAAUAAAAUGGCUUUCUUUCUCUAGAUAAGGUGGCGGGAAAACAUUUAAGAUAUUCUCGUCCUAACACGGCAAUUGUUUAACAAUAACCAGAGCCACUGACUAUACUCUUGUGUGCUAAGCAUUGUACCAAGCACUGAAAGCACAUUACUUCAUUGAUUUUAUUUCAUCCUCAAAUGGGUAGGAAACGACUCCAAGAGGUCAAAGAACUUUCUUUCAAGUCACGCUGUCAGUAGGUGACAGGACUGGUGCACAAACCCUCAGUCUGACUGAUUCCAUGGCCUGUGUUCUAAGACACUUUGCUAUGUUGGUGGAUUCCUUUCUAGCCUUUUAAAUAUAUGCGUAUUGAAAAUAGUUGUAUUCCAAGUUAUGGUGAUUCUGCAGUCUCCAUUUCCCACUUCACAUUACAUUAUACGCAUAUUUUGGUACUUUUAUUUAGUUUGCCUCAUUUUUAUACAAUAUGGUA